CUCCGUGCCAGCAGCCGCGGUAAUACGGGGGAUGCAAGCGUUAUCCGGAAUCAUUGGGCGUAAAGCGCCUGUAGGUUGUUUAAUAAGUCUGUUGUUAAAGACUGGGGCUUAACCCCAGGAAAGCAAUGGAAACUACUAGACUAGAGUAUGGUAGGGGUAAAGGGAAUUUCUAGUGUAGCGGUGAAAUGCGUAGAUAUUAGAAAGAACACCGGUGGCGAAAGCGCUUUACUGGACCAUUACUGACACUCAGAGGCGAAAGCUAGGGUAGCCAAAGGGAUUAGAUACCCCUGUAGUCCUAGCCGUAAACGAUGGAUACUAGAUGUUGCGCUUAUUGUGCAGUGUCGUAGCUAACGCGUUAAGUAUCCCGCCUGGGGAGUACGAUCGCAAGGUUGAAACUCAAAGGAAUUGACGGGGGCCCGCACAAGCGGUGGAGCAUGUGGUUUAAUUCGAUGCAACGCGAAGAACCUUACCAGGGCUUGACAUACUGCAAAUUUUCUUGAAAGAGAAAAGUGCCUUUGGGAAUGCAGAUACAGGUGGUGCAUGGCUGUCGUCAGCUCGUGUCGUGAGAUGUUGGGUUAAGUCCCGCAACGAGCGCAACCCUCGUUUUUAGUUGCCAUUUUAUGGGUUCUCUAGAAAGACUGCCGGUGACAAACCGGAGGAAGGUGGGGAUGACGUCAAGUCAGCAUGCCCCUUAUGCCCUGGGCUACACACGUGCUACAAUGGCUAAGACAAAGAGUCGCGAAUUCGCGAGAAUCAGCUAAUCUCAUAAACUUCGUCUAAGUUCAGAUUGUAG
RNAcentral lists this ribosomal RNA (793 nucleotides) under uncultured phototrophic eukaryote. Its description in RNAcentral is "bacterial SSU rRNA". It matches the Rfam family "Bacterial small subunit ribosomal RNA", at positions 501 to 1303 of the family's 1533-position model. The record is from RNAcentral.